AUACGAAAGGUGCAAGCGUUGUUCGGAUUUACUGGGCGUAAAGAGAGUGUAGGUGGUUUAUUAAGUCGGAUGUGAAAUCCCGGGGCUCAACCUCGGAACUGCAUUCGAUACUGAUAGGCUAGAGUUUGGGAGGGGUAAGCGGAAUUCCGUGUGUGGCAGUGAAAUGCGUAGAUAUACGGAGGAACACCUGAGGCGAAGGCGGCUUACUGGACCAAUACUGACACUGAGACUCGAAAGCGUGGGUAGCAAACAGGAUUAGAAACCCUAGUAGUCC
Molecule: ribosomal RNA, 274 nt
Filed under: uncultured bacterium
Lineage: Bacteria
Description: partial 16S ribosomal RNA
Rfam family: Bacterial small subunit ribosomal RNA
Source: RNAcentral